GGAAGGAUAAAAAAGAAGAAUCAGGAAAGAGAAAGAAAAGGGAAAAGGAAAGGAAAAGAAAAAAAGAAAGGAAGGAGAAUAAGAGAAAGGAAGAGGGAGAAAGAUGGCUGGAUUUUUUUUGAGUUUCUCUAGCAAGAAACAACACCGACAAGGGGAAAAGAAGGAUUUUGGUUUAGGAUACUAGAAAUAAAAAAGAGAAAAGGGAGAAAAAAA
This 213-nucleotide unclassified non-coding RNA is filed under the name Hevea brasiliensis (rubber tree). The record is from RNAcentral. Lineage: Eukaryota; Viridiplantae; Streptophyta; Magnoliopsida; Malpighiales; Euphorbiaceae.